AUACUUACCUAUUCUUUUGGGGAGAUUCCAUGAUCACGAAGGUGGUUUUCCCAGGACUAGGCUUAUCCAUUGCAUUCCAGAUGUGCUGACCCCUGCAAUUUCCCCAAAUGUGGGAAACUCAACUGCAUAAUUUGUGGUAAUGGGGGACUGCGUUCGCGGUCUCCCCUG
Erinaceus europaeus (western European hedgehog) is the source of this 168-nucleotide non-coding RNA. NCBI's taxonomy places the organism in Eukaryota, Metazoa, Chordata, Mammalia, Eulipotyphla, Erinaceidae. The record is from Rfam.